This 301-nucleotide ribosomal RNA is filed under the name uncultured bacterium. RNAcentral describes it as "partial 16S ribosomal RNA". It matches the Rfam family "Bacterial small subunit ribosomal RNA", at positions 509 to 807 of the family's 1533-position model. The record is from RNAcentral.
CAGCAGCCACGGUAAUACGAAGGGGGCUAGCGUUGUUCGGAAUCACUGGGCGUAAAGGGUGCGUAGGCGGAUUCUUAAGUCAGGGGUGAAAUCCCGAGGCUCAACCUCGGAACUGCCUUUGAUACUGGGGAUCUUGAGUCCGGAAGAGGUGAGUGGAACUGCGAGUGUAGAGGUGAAAUUCGUAGAUAUUCGCAAGAACACCGGUGGCGAAGGCGGCUCACUGGUCCGGAACUGACGCUGAGGCACGACAGCGUGGGGAGCAAACAGGAUUAGAUACCCCGGUAGUCCCUGUCUCUUAUAC